CACCAUCACUGCAGAGUGGAAUGGUGUCAAUGUAGCUAGUUAACUGCAGUAGUCAAAAACUGCGGAUGUGUGUCCGUUUGUUCUAUUCGUUGUCGUUUAAGGCAUGGAAUUACGUCAGUUUUGUCCGGCGUUCAUUUUUUAUGAUGUAUGGGGUUGGAUGAGAUAGGGAAAAAUUUGUGAAUGCCUCCUAUUUUAUUACUUCGUGUAUUAAGGUUUUCCUCCUAUGGUAGUUGAAUAUAUAUGUAACAUUUAUAUCUAUCUAUAUAUAUAUAUAUACAUAUAUAAAUAUAUAAUAUUUUUUAUUUAUAUAGUAAUUUUGUAAUCUAGUGACAUUUAUAAAAUAACAUAUAAUACUUGUUGAAAUACAUAUAUUGUAAAAUUUUAACCCUUUGAUUCUGCCCAGACGGGUUUAGGUGUAAAAAUUUUAUUCAGUUUGAAUAGAAAUUUAGCAAACAUAAUGAUAACUUGCGAAUAUCGCUAAAAGAGAAGCAGUAGCUUCCUUACCCAAUAAGAUUCCUCUUGCAAUAUCUAGUCAGUUGUAAAAAUGUUAGAACCCUCGUCGUCAGAAGAAGAAAGCGAAAAUGAAACAGUCGAAGAAGAGAGUUCGGAAGCUACAGCGCUGUCUGCUUCUGCGACAAAUUUGGAUAUCCCAAGGAGUAGUAGCAUUCCCCGUAGCAUAUCGCCAGCCAGUGGUGCGGAUAACUUAAGCGUGGUGAGCAGUUCUCAGUCUAGAUCGAACAGUCUAGCUCGACCUUCUAGUCCCAGUCCAUCUCUGGUCAGUGAGAAAGAUAAAGAAAAAGAUGAAGUUGAUAAAGCUGAGAAGGAGGAAGAAGAGCGGAAGAAGCGUCUGCAGCUGUACGUGUUUGUAUUGCGCUGUAUCGCAUAUCCAUUCAAUGCAAAACAACCUAUGGACAUGGUCCGUAGAAAUUUGAAAGUCACGAAGCAGCAGCUCGAAACAAUUCAAGGACGUUUCCAAGCGUUCUUCAAGGGGGAGACAACUAUUGCAGCAGAUGAGGCCUUCAAUAAUGCAGUACAAAACUACUAUGAAGUUUUCCUUAAGAGUGACCGAGUAUUGAGGAUGGUACAAAGUGGUGCCUGUUCACAACAAGAUUUUCGUGAUGUUUUUAAAAUAAACAUUGAGAAAAGAGUUCGCAGUUUGCCUGAAAUCAAUGGCCUUAGCAAGGAAACUGUCCUCACAGCAUGGUUAAAUAAAUUCGAUGCAAUACUUCGAGGGGACGAAGACACUCGAAAACCUCAAAGUAGGUUACAGCAGAAUGUUGCCUCUGAACUUAUAUUAAGCAAAGAACAGUUAUAUGAUAUGUUCCAGAAUAUUCUAGGCAUAAAGAAGUUUGAACAUCAGCUUUUGUAUAAUGCUUUGCAGCUGGAUUCUCAAGAUGAACAAGCUGCUGCUAUACGACGAGAACUAGAUGGCAGAAUACAAAAAGUGAAUGAGAUGGAAAAGAAUCGAAAAUUGAUGCCUAAGUUUGUGCUCAAGGAAAUGGAGAGUUUGUAUAUAGAAGAGUUACGUUCUUCCAUUAAUCAGUUAAUGCUUAAUCUUGAAAGUUUGCCUGUAUCGAAAGGUGGCGCUGAUGGGAAAUAUGGUCUACAGAAGCUCAAGAGAUAUAACCAUAGCCGAUCAAGCUAUCUCUCGGCAUCUGCAAAUAUAUGGCCUGAUUGCAGCCCUCUUAAAGUUGUAAUGUGCCUGCAAGCUCCCCUCUGGAUAAUCAUUUACAAUGCACUAGUCUUUUCUUUUACUUACAUGAGUCAGUCAUCACUAUCCAAAGAAGCUCUAGCAGAAGAUGGAGAAACCUCGCUCUCUAAGCUUGACGUUGUCCUUUCAUUCACGUUGGAGGUAGUAGUAAUGGAAGUUAAAGGAUUAAAAUCAUUAUCACCUAAUAGAAUAGUAUAUUGUACAAUGGAAGUAGAAGGAGGAGAAAAAUUACAAACUGACCAUGCAGAGGCAUCUAAACCUAUGUGGGAUACACAAGGUGAUUUUACUACUACCCAUGCUCUGCCUAUAGUAAAAGUGAAAUUAUACACAGAAAGUCCUGGCUUAUUGAGCUUAGAUGACAAAGAACUUGGAAAAGUAAUUAUAAAACCCACUCCCUUAAGUCCCAAAACCCCUGAAUGGUACAAAAUGAUAGUUCCCAAAAAUGCCCCUGAUCAAGAUUUACGAAUAAAGAUUGUUGUCCGCAUGGAUAAGCCUCUAAAUAUGAAGCAUUGCGGGUAUUUAUUUGCGCAGGGAAAGCAGGUAUGGAAAAAAUGGAAAAAAAGAUACUUUCUACUGGUUCAAGUUUCACAGUAUACAUUCGCAAUGUGCAGUUAUCGAGAAAAGAAAUCGGAGCCUACAGAGAUGAUGCAGCUAGACGGGUACACUGUAGAUUAUGUUGAACCAGUGAUGGAUCUUGAAGGUGGGAGGUUUUUCUUCAAUGCGGUCAAAGAAGGAGAUAGUGUUCUCUUUGCCAGUGAUGAUGAAAAUGAAUGCCAUUUAUGGGUUAUGGCUAUGUACAGAGCAACAGGCCAGUCCCAUAAACCAACACCACUUAUUCAACCACAGACUAGCAAAAAUUCCACUAUUUCUAGGCUUCAAGGAGAUGCAGAUCGAGCUCGCAAACAUGGUAUGGAUGAAUUCAUAUCAGCAGAUCCUUGUAAAUUUGCUCAUCACACAUUAUUUAGAACUCUUCAAACCACAACACUUGAUUAUCGUCUAAAUGACCCAUAUUGUUCCUUGGGAUGGUUCAGUCCAGGGCAAGUUUUUGUUCUUGAUGAGUAUUGUGCUCGCUAUGGAGUUCGCAGUUGUUAUCGUCAUCUCUGUUACCUGCAUGACUUAUUGGAUAGAGCAGAGAAAUCAAUCAUGAUUGACCCUACUCUAAUACAUUACAGUUUUGCAUUUUGUGCCUCGCAUGUUCAUGGAAACAGUACUGCCCCACCAGGACAGGUUGCCACAGAUGUGAGGCCUGAUGGUAUUGGUACAGUCACUGUAGAAGAAAAAGACAUUUUUGCCGAGAUAAAAGAAAGAUUAAGGAUUCUCCUCGAAAAUCAAAUUACUCAUUUUAGAUAUUGCUUCCCCUUUGGAAGGCCUGAAGGAGCUUUGAAGGCUACAUUAUCUUUGCUAGAAAGGGUUUUAAUGAAGGAUGUAAUGACUCCUGCACCUCCAGAAGAAGUUAGAGCUGUGAUAAAAAAGUGCUUAGAAAAUGCAGCCCUCGUAAAUUAUACACGGAUAUCAGAACAGGCUAAAAUUGAAGAAACAGGAUGGAUGAAAAUGCAUCGCCGCAGAAAAAACUUGAGGAUUUAAUUCACUUAGCAGAACUUUGUGUUGAUCUUUUGCAACAAAACAAUGAAAAUUAUGCUGAGGCAUUUCGAUCGGAUGCGGCAUUUGCAUGGUUUAGUGAUCUUCUAGUUGAGCAUGCUGAAAUCUUCUGGUCUUUGUUCGCUGUAGACAUGGAUACUGUUUUAGCUGAA
This 3462-nucleotide unclassified non-coding RNA is filed under the name Stegodyphus dumicola. Its description in RNAcentral is "calcium-dependent secretion activator-like, transcript variant X9". The record is from RNAcentral. Lineage: Eukaryota; Metazoa; Arthropoda; Arachnida; Araneae; Eresidae.